AUGAACCACGAGCUUGCUGAGCUAUACGGCGAACCGAGCAUCCUGACGGUGGCGAAGGCUGGCAGGAUACGAUGGCUGGUGCAUGUCAUGAGGAUCUCAUGCCCCACCAAGAAGGUGUUCGACAGCGAUCCCCAGUUCGGCAUAAGGCGCAAGGGAGCACAGCGAACUCGAUGGCUGGACCAGGUGAAGUAAGACCUGUUGGAGAUCGGGUGUCUGCAUGGAUGGGAGGCUGCAGCCAGGGACCGAUCAUCCUGGAGAAUGAUUGUUGCCCGGGCCAUACCACAUCGACGUGCUCUAUCGCGUGCAUGCCAACAAGAGAGAGAGGGGAGGAUCAUGCUCCGAAUGGACCGUGCCCCCAUACGUAGGACUGACUAUCAUGCUAUAGUAAUAAAUAAGUCACUAAAACCGAAACCCAUAAGUGGUACAGACAGGCCUUGGCCGACAACGGUUAUUGUGUGAAAGAAGAAGAAUACUAGACUUUAUUUAAAAUAGUGUCAGUUUAUUUUCAAUGAUCGAUGAAAUUCCACAAUUUAUUAAUAUUUAUGAAACAUAUUCCCCAUGCUUUGGUUUAAACCACAAUAGAACACCAUUGGCAGACUUUUCCGUUUUAAUUGCUUCUUAUGAUUUCUAGAUUUCAAAACGCCUGUUUUACAGUUUCUUUUUAUUCAGAAGGAAAGGCUAGAACGUAUUGCUUCACAUUGAAUAUUAGUGUAUACAAUUCUUUUCAAAACUAUAAGAACACCGAGUU
Molecule: long non-coding RNA, 748 nt
Organism: Anopheles gambiae (African malaria mosquito)
Lineage: Eukaryota; Metazoa; Arthropoda; Insecta; Diptera; Culicidae
Exons: 1
Source: RefSeq, a predicted model, not a curated record